Molecule: RNA transcript, 5163 nt
Organism: Archocentrus centrarchus (flier cichlid)
Lineage: Eukaryota; Metazoa; Chordata; Actinopteri; Cichliformes; Cichlidae
Gene: prom1b
Gene name: prominin 1 b
Exons: 30
Source: RefSeq, a predicted model, not a curated record
UGAGUCUUUUUCGUGCGCGCGAGAUUAGGCUGCUCGCAGCCCGAAGCCGCCGGAAGUGUGUGAGCGCUCGUCUUCGGCCGCCGGUCCUCUCAGUCGUCGAUGAGCUCCGGGAAGAUGUUGGUGAUGACUCCGUGCCGAGAAACCUGGACCUAACGGCUGCUACAACCUCGACCGUUGGAUGUUAAGUUUGAAACUUUAUCUCUGGACGGCUGUUUUUGCCGUGUGGGGAUAAACACCACCGGGAGGGACAGGUGUCACCCACCCUUCUCCCCCUUCCUCCAUCCCAUCCCACUGGGGCUGGCAGCUUUCUAUUUGUCUCCCUCUCACACUUUUUUUUUUUUUUUUUUUAAACAAAACAGAGCAGGACUUUUUGUGAGCCAUGCUGUGGACAAGGUGGCUCGUCCUGUUGCUCUGCUGGGGGGGCACAGGCAGCGAGCGACAUGCGGAUGAGAGGGACGCGGUACCGGCUGAGGUCCGGUCGGACUCCCGCAGAGAGCGCUCCCCUCCGCCGGUGGAGCCGCUGGAUUUUGGGUUUGUACCCGCGGCGGUUUAUGACACCCACGCUUACUACGAGCCAGGGACCAUAGGGAUCCUCUUCCACAUGGUCCAUGCGUUUCUCUACAUGGUUCAACCGAACCACUUCCCCAAAGAUCUCAUUGUCAGAGUCAUUCAGCAAAACCUGGGUGCAUUCAAAAUAGAGGAAUGGAGAAAGCCAGAAAACGUCGUCUUGUUGCUGCAGUGGAUCCAGUACGAGUCGGGAUUCCUCGUAUGCGCAAGCUUUGGCGUCGUGUUUGUGGUCCUCACUCCCAUCAUAGCCACGUGCUUCUGCAUGUGCCGAUGCUGCGAUAACUGUGGAGGGGAGAUGCAUCAGAGGCAGAGGAAAAACGCCGACUGCCACAGAGGUUUCUACACCGCCUCGCUGGUUGGCACCACCAUCUUCAUCAUUCUGGGAGUUCUCAUUGCCCUUGCUGCAAAUUACAACAUCAGCUCCCAGAUCAAAAGCACUCGGCGGCUCAUUAACACCAACAUGAGAGACCUGAAGACGUUUGCAAACAACACGCCCGCACAAAUCGAUUACCUGACAGCCCAGUACACCACAUCCAAGAACAAAGUCCUGUCAGACCUCGACAACAUUGGCCCUUUGCUGGGAGGUAGGAUCCACAUUCAGCUGGAGAAAUCUGUGAUUCCUUCGCUGGACGCUGCCCUGCGUAUGGCAGGAGCAAAAGUUGAGAGUGCCAUCAAAGCCAUGCGUGAGACCAAAGAGGCCCUGGAGAACGUCAGCUCCUCCUUGGAGGUGCUGCAGGAGGGGGUGGGAAAACUUCAGGCCAGCCUGUCAGGGGAGCGUGCCUCUCUGUCCAACACCCUGUCUGACCCCGCCUGCACCAACGGAGCUGUGUCGCACACCUGCAAUGCCAUCCGCGCCACACUUUUUCAGCUGGGAAUCAAUGCUGACUUCUCCAAGCUCCCAGAUGUCAAUCAUGCUUUGGCCAAUGUCAAUACUGUUCUGAAAACAGAUCUGAGCAACAUUGUACAAAGGGGUUACGCAUCCUUUAAUGACACACCAAGACUGGUUAAAGAGCAAACUAAAAACAUUGUUGCAGCCCUGCCUCGAGUAAAAGGCAUGCUGGAUAAGAUUGGUGCAGAGAUAACUGGCUUCUCCAAGAUGUUCCCAGUGGAAGCUUCUCUGGCAAAUUUCACCAUUUUCCUAAAUGAAAGACACAAGGUUAUUGAGUCCUAUUACCCCCAAAUGGACCAAAUUGAUUUUUACAGGUGGAUCGCCUGUGUGGCGGUGCUCUGCAUGGUCGUCUUGGUGCUGGCCUUUAACAUCCUCGGCCUGCUGUGUGGUAACUGUGGCUAUGACAAACAAGCUACCCCGACAACCCGUGGCUGCCUGUCAAACACCGGGGGAAACCUGCUGAUGGCUGGUGUUGGCUUCUCUUUUAUCUUUGCCUGUGUGCUGAUGGCCAUCAUUACCACCCUGUUUGUUGUGGGUGGCAACGUGGAGAAGCUGAUAUGUGAACCUCUGGCUAACCGACAGCUGUUUAAGAUCAUUGAUACGCCAUUCCUGGUCCAUCCUGAAAAAAAGAACUUCCUACCUGGGAUGCUGUUCCAGAAUCCAAAUAUUGAUUUAACUUUGGGCAGCAUGUACAGGGAGUGCUAUGAGAACAAUGGUCUGUAUCACGCUCUGCAACUAGAGACCAUGUUCAACAUUAACUCCUUCCUGAACAGAACAGUGUACAACAGGGACCUGGCCAAAGUGUUUGAAAGUGUGCAGGUGGACCUGCAGGGUGUCAUGCUGCUGGAGCAGUCUGGCAGAGACAACCUCAUCAACUUUGCCAACUCUGGAAUUGGACAGAUCGACUAUCAGGCUUAUCUUGCUGAGGUAAAUAAAGGGGUCACCGUAAUAGAUCUGCUGUCCUUCUGUAGUGACCUGGAGGCUCAGGCUGACCAACUGCCACGUGGUGCUCUGGAGAACGCACUGAGAGGCCACGCCAGCAGUAUUAGGGCCAUUCACAGGGAUCAGGUGGUGCCAUUGGAGCAAGCAAUGUUUCUCUCCCAUGAUCCUGAUUUUAGCAGCAUCUCAUCCCGUGUAGCAAGAGAACUUGUGAUUGAGGCUAGCAGACACACAAGCAAGCUGCUGAAAUAUGUCAGAGCGCGGAGUACCCUGAACCAGAGUAUCAAACUGCUACAGAGGACAUCCACCGACCUGCCAGUCAAAGUCACAAAUGUCCUGAGUGCCAUUGAUGCAGCAGAGUACCUCAUCGCUCAUAAUGCCUCCCAUGUUGUAAAGCAGGAAACAAAGAUGUACGUGCAGGGUUUGGUGGGAUACUUCAAACAGUACACAGAAUGGGUUAAAAACUCUCUAACUGCAGAAGUAGCCCAGUGUAAACCCAUCAGCAACAUUGUGGACAGCAUGGAAAUAGUAGGAUGCAGCUUCAUAACUGACUCAGUGAACACAUUCUGGUUUGGUCUGGGAGGCUGCUGCAUCCUGCUGAUCCCCAGCAUCAUCUUCUCUGUCAAACUGGCCAAGUAUUACAGGAGGAUGGACACAGAGGACGUCUUUGAGGACUCCUCUUACCCAUGGCUUGUUGCACUUUAAUGCUUGUCUAUUAUUCCCACACCUGGUCAUCUUCUCCCAUGCACCUGCUCGCUUUUCAGUACGGGAUUCUUCAUCUUUGGAUUACUUCACAGCUUUCUCACUCUUCCACCUGAAAUCACAAACUCAGCAUCUUAUCUCUUUUCAUGGUCUUCCCCGUCACUCCUCGCCGUCUUCUUCCCGACGUGAGCAAUGCUCUCUGUGGAUCACUCCAUCCUUGUUACUUUCACAGGAGUCUUCCCAUUCUCUUUCUCAUCUGUCCUCCCUCACUCUUCUGUUGCAGUAUGGCUAAUACAGGUAAUCAUGGUGAACAGGUGUGUGAUAUCCAUGGAAACUUCACCAUCAGGUACGAGCCGUGGGCAGCUAAAUCUGCUGGCUUGCAUGCUCGAGUGUUAAUUGGUGGAGGGAUAUUUGGAGACAUGUCAACUUUUUUUUUUAACUACAUGGGAUUUUUCCACAUGUAAAGAUUGUGUGUGUGUGUGUGUGUGUGUGUGUGUGUGUGUGUGUGUGUGUGUGUGUGUGUGUGUGUGUGUGUGUGUGCGUCUGCGCAUUUAGCUCUCCCUAUUGUGACACUCUGACUCGGUUCCCUCGGGCCUCUGCCCCCCCGAGCUACUCAGUCUGGUGACCCACAGGAACGCUCUCCCCACUGAUGAGUGGACAGGAGAACUGGAACUGACGUUCCCCUGUGGAUCACCGGGCUGUUUAGGCUUCCUAUUCAGCUCUCCUAACACUUCCAAGGACAAAAGGGAAGAACAUUCAUGAACUGUGCUGUGAGGGCAUCUCUGUCCGUCAGGCCAUUUGACAAAACCACUAAUGCCAGCAAACUGUAGUCCUAUGAAGUGUUGUCUCGACCCCUUUACCGUUUCAUUCUGUACACCAUCGACUGCAUAGUUAGCUGCAUAGAGAAUGAAUUUGUACUUACAUGAUCAGUUUUAAACGGAGUGACACAAGUGUACAGUUUUUACACUUUCAAAUCUUUUGAAAGUUUUAUAUAUUUUUGUUAAUCUUUAUUUUAUAACGUAAAUAGUUUUUUGUAGUAGUAGCUCUCUUUGUUUUUCCUCUGUGAAUAUUUGUAAUAUUGCUCACACUUUUCCAUCAGACGGUUGCAUUUAGCAGGUAUAUUUUUAAGGAAUGGUUUGACAUUUUUGAAAAAAACAGCCACUCGCUUUCUUCCCGAGAAUUAGAUGAGAAGUGUUUGUGAAAUUCAAGCAGCUGGAAAGCUCAACUAAGUAAAAGGCAAAGAUUUAGAAACAAGCUAACAGCCGUGCUUGCUGUGCUUUGAGCUGCUGCCUGCAGGCUAAUAUCUUGUUUUCUCAAUUUGAGUAAACAUGCAUGCAAUAUAGUACCUAUAUAGUAUGGAUAGCGGACUUCUAACAGUCCACACGUUCUGUGUGGGGACACUACGUGUACUUUAAAUCAUCGCCAUAUUGACUAAGUAAGAGGAAGAGGAGAGUAAGAGGAAGACCCACUGACAUGGGGGCACACACCUGUAGUUGCAAAAAGACUUGUGGUGCUUUCUGACGUGACCUCUGUAAACAUGUUCCUGCUGAGUUUAUGGGCUCCGUCACUCAUUUGGAGUCAUAAUGAUUAAAAAAUUAAGUGUUUUGUAAAUUGUGGUCAUUAUGUUUCAGAAUGAAGGAUUAUCCAGGAUAUACUCAUGAAGUGCACUUUCACAGUCAGACCCGCCCCUCUGUUAUUACUUCGGGUUUUAAAAACACUGAGAGGGUGACAGCAAGACAUGUUUUGUUCCCUUGAGCCAUUUUCACACUUUUUGUGCACAUUUCAGCUAACCACACAGAGCAGAGUUAUUGAUAUUCUCGGCUAACUCAAGAAGAAAGUGAAAACAGGCCUUUUUACAAAGUGUUGAAUUAUUCCUUUAAGCACCAAAGCAGCAGCAGCUCUGUUUGGUACAGGCAGUCACGGGAUAAAAUAUGGAGUGAAGCUAAAUUAAAUGAAUAAACAGGGGUUUGCUUAUGCUAUUGCAUCAGCCUUUAUAUAACUAAAUUUAACUCAAUCCUGUUUUUAUUGUUGAUUAUUGGUAAUAAAAAAUUGUCUGUGGGGUGUGA